GACGAACGCUGGCGGCGUGCCUAACACAUGCAAGUCGAGCGGAGUCGAUCGACGGAAGCCUUCGGGCGGAAGAUGGUUGACUUAGCGGCGGAUGGGUGAGUAACGCGUGGGCAACCUGCCUCGAAGACCGGGAUAACAGCCCGAAAGGGCUGCUAAUACCGGAUGUGGUCAAAGAUCCGCAUGGAUUUUUGAUUAAAGGGGAAACCCGUUUCGAGAUGGGCCCGCGUCCUAUCAGCUAGUUGGUGAGGUAAAAGCUCACCAAGGCGACGACGGGUAGCCGGCCUGAGAGGGUGACCGGCCACACUGGAACUGAGACACGGUCCAGACUCCUACGGGGGCAGCAGUGGGGAAUCUUCCACAAUGGGCGAAAGCCUGAUGGAGCGACGCCGCGUGAGCGAAGAAGGCCUCGGUUGUAAGCUCUGUCUGGAGGGACGAAGGAAGUGACGGUACCUCCGGAGGAAGCCACGGCUAACUACGUGCCAGCAGCCGCGGUAAAAGUAGUGUGUA
This 507-nucleotide ribosomal RNA is filed under the name uncultured bacterium. Its description in RNAcentral is "bacterial SSU rRNA". It matches the Rfam family "Bacterial small subunit ribosomal RNA", at positions 28 to 536 of the family's 1533-position model. The record is from RNAcentral.